CGAACGGGUGAGUAACACGUGGGCAACCUGCCCAAAAGAAGGGGGAGUAACACUUGGAAACAGGUGCUAAUACCGCAUAACCAUAGUUACCGCAUGGUAACUAUGUAAAAGGUGGCUAUGCUACCGCUUUUGGAUGGGCCCGCGACGCAUUAGCUAGUUGGUGGGGUAAAGGCUUACCAAGGCAAUGAUGCGUAGCCGAACUGAGAGGUUGAUCGGCCACAUUGGGACUGAGACACGGCCCAAACUCCUACGGAAGGCAGCAG
Molecule: ribosomal RNA, 263 nt
Filed under: uncultured bacterium
Lineage: Bacteria
Description: partial 16S ribosomal RNA
Rfam family: Bacterial small subunit ribosomal RNA
Source: RNAcentral